GAUGAACGCUGGCGGCGUGCCUAAUACAUGCAAGUCGAGCGAACAGACGAGGAGCUUGCUCCUCUGACGUUAGCGGCGGACGGGUGAGUAACACGUGGAUAACCUACCUAUAAGACUGGGAUAACUUCGGGAAACCGGAGCUAAUACCGGAUAAUAUAUUGAACCGCAUGGUUCAAUAGUGAAAGACGGUUUUGCUGUCACUUAUAGAUGGAUCCGCGCCGCAUUAGCUAGUUGGUAAGGUAACGGCUUACCAAGGCAACGAUGCGUAGCCGACCUGAGAGGGUGAGCGGCCACACUGGAACUGAGACACGGUCCAGACUCCUACGGGAGGCAGCAGUAGGGAAUCGUCCGCAAUGGGCGAAAGCCUGACGGAGCAACGCCGCGUGAGUGAUGAAGGUCUUCGGAUCGUAACACUCUGUUAUUAGGGAAGAACAAAUGUGUAGGUAACUAUGCACGUCUUGACGGUACCUAAUCAGAAAGCCACGGCUAACUACGUG
RNAcentral lists this ribosomal RNA (497 nucleotides) under uncultured bacterium. Its description in RNAcentral is "partial 16S ribosomal RNA". It matches the Rfam family "Bacterial small subunit ribosomal RNA", at positions 28 to 507 of the family's 1533-position model. The record is from RNAcentral.